This 776-nucleotide ribosomal RNA is filed under the name uncultured Neocallimastigales. RNAcentral describes it as "partial large subunit ribosomal RNA". It matches the Rfam family "Eukaryotic large subunit ribosomal RNA", at positions 24 to 647 of the family's 3401-position model. The record is from RNAcentral. Lineage: Eukaryota; Fungi; Neocallimastigomycota; Neocallimastigomycetes; Neocallimastigales.
CACGCAUGACACACUGCAUAUCAAUAAGCGGAGGAAAAGAAUACUAACAAGGAUUCCCUUAGUAACGGCGAGUGAAGCGGGAAGAGCUCAAAUUUGAAAUCUUCAAGGUUCUACCUUGACGAAUUGUAGUUUAUAGAAGUGUUUUCUGUUAGUGGAGUGGCAAAAGUUCUUUGGAAUAGGACAUCAUAGAGGGUGAGAAUCCCGUAUUUGGUCAUUCCUCCUAGCGUUGUGAUACACUUUCAACGAGUCGGAUUGUUUGGGAAUGCAGUCCAAAAUGGGUGGUAAAUUUCAUCUAAAGCUAAAUAUUGGCGAUGAGACCGAUAGCGAACAAGUACCGUGAGGGAAAGAUGAAAAGAACUUUGAAAAGAGAGUUAAACAGUACGUGAAAUUGUCAAAAGGGAAGCGUUUGACACCAGUGUUGUUUUUCCGAAAAUCAAUUACGAAUGUUUUAGUUUUUGAGAAGUUAUGACUUCAUCGGCUUGCUUCUCUCUUUAUGAAACUUUCUUAAUGCACUUUUCGGUUAACAAGUCAACAUCAAUUUCUUUUGUUGUAAAAGGGUAUGAGGAAGGUGGCUUUCUUUUCGGAGAAAGUGUUUAUAGCCUUGUACCUCUGCAAUCGGAGAGAUUGAGGUCUGCAGCGUAGAUCCUUCGGGGUUAGAUACAUUUGUGCUAAGUUAUAGCUUUUCAUAGACAACUUGUUGACUAUGUUAAGUCUUGUAGCUUACUCGCUUAUGCUAUUUUACCUACGCUUAGGAUGUUGACGAGACUGUCGAUCUC